This 855-nucleotide ribosomal RNA is filed under the name Pseudoalteromonas translucida. RNAcentral describes it as "bacterial SSU rRNA". It matches the Rfam family "Bacterial small subunit ribosomal RNA", at positions 21 to 872 of the family's 1533-position model. Lineage: Bacteria; Pseudomonadati; Pseudomonadota; Gammaproteobacteria; Alteromonadales; Pseudoalteromonadaceae. The record is from RNAcentral.
GGCUCAGAUUGAACGCUGGCGGCAGGCCUAACACAUGCAAGUCGAGCGGUAACAGAAAGUAGCUUGCUACUUUGCUGACGAGCGGCGGACGGGUGAGUAAUGCUUGGGAACAUGCCUUGAGGUGGGGGACAACAGUUGGAAACGACUGCUAAUACCGCAUAAUGUCUACGGACCAAAGGGGGCUUCGGCUCUCGCCUUUAGAUUGGCCCAAGUGGGAUUAGCUAGUUGGUGAGGUAAUGGCUCACCAAGGCGACGAUCCCUAGCUGGUUUGAGAGGAUGAUCAGCCACACUGGGACUGAGACACGGCCCAGACUCCUACGGGAGGCAGCAGUGGGGAAUAUUGCACAAUGGGCGCAAGCCUGAUGCAGCCAUGCCGCGUGUGUGAAGAAGGCCUUCGGGUUGUAAAGCACUUUCAGUCAGGAGGAAAGCGUGGUGGUUAAUACCCAUCAUGUGUGACGUUACUGACAGAAGAAGCACCGGCUAACUCCGUGCCAGCAGCCGCGGUAAUACGGAGGGUGCGAGCGUUAAUCGGAAUUACUGGGCGUAAAGCGUACGCAGGCGGUUUGUUAAGCGAGAUGUGAAAGCCCCGGGCUCAACCUGGGAACUGCAUUUCGAACUGGCAAACUAGAGUGUGAUAGAGGGUGGUAGAAUUUCAGGUGUAGCGGUGAAAUGCGUAGAGAUCUGAAGGAAUACCGAUGGCGAAGGCAGCCACCUGGGUCAACACUGACGCUCAUGUACGAAAGCGUGGGGAGCAAACGGGAUUAGAUACCCCGGUAGUCCACGCCGUAAACGAUGUCUACUAGAAGCUCGGAGCCUCGGUUCUGUUUUUCAAAGCUAACGCAUUAAGUAGACCGC